RNAcentral lists this ribosomal RNA (406 nucleotides) under uncultured bacterium. RNAcentral describes it as "partial 16S ribosomal RNA". It matches the Rfam family "Bacterial small subunit ribosomal RNA", at positions 30 to 526 of the family's 1533-position model. The record is from RNAcentral.
AUUGAACGCUGGCGGGAGGCUUAACACAUGCAAGUCGAGCGAGCGGCGGACGGGUGAGUAAUGUCUGGGAAACUGCCUGGUGGCGGGGGAUAACUACUGGAAACGGUAGCUAAUACCGCAUACCAUCAGAGGUGCCCAGAUGGGAUUAGCUAGUAGGUGGGGUAAUGGCUCACCAAGGCGACGAUCCCUAGCUGGUUUGAGAGGAUGACCAGCCACACUGGAACUGAGACACGGUCCAGACUCCUACGGGAGGCAGCAGUGGGGAAUUUUGGACAAUGGGGGCAAGCCUGAUGCAGCCAUGCCGCGUGUGUGAAGAAGGCCUUCGGGUUGUAAAGCACUUUCAGCGAGGAAGCGUUACUCGCAGAAGAAGCACCGGCUAACUCCGUGCCAGCAGCCGCGGUAAUAC